UUUGUCAUUUAUCAUUAAUUAAACUCAGCUUUAUAUUCAGUCUAAAUUAGUCUUUAUUCAGAAAAUUGUUAAAGCGGCUUAAUCUUUUUUCU
Molecule: long non-coding RNA, 92 nt
Organism: Sinocyclocheilus anshuiensis
Lineage: Eukaryota; Metazoa; Chordata; Actinopteri; Cypriniformes; Cyprinidae
Exons: 3
Source: RefSeq, a predicted model, not a curated record